RNAcentral lists this ribosomal RNA (393 nucleotides) under uncultured bacterium. RNAcentral's name for it is "partial 16S ribosomal RNA". It matches the Rfam family "Bacterial small subunit ribosomal RNA", at positions 523 to 918 of the family's 1533-position model. The record is from RNAcentral.
AUACGGAGGAUCCGAGCGUUAUCCGGAUUUAUUGGGUUUAAAGGGUGCGUAGGUGGACAGGUCAGUCAGGGGUGAAAGUUUGCAGCUUAACUGUAAAAUUGCCUUUGAUACUGCUUGUCUUGAGUGCAAAUGAGGUAGGCGGAAUGCGUUGUGUAGCGGUGAAAUGCUUAGAUAUGACACAGAACUCCGAUUGCGAAGGCAGCUUACUGGGAUGCAACUGACACUGAGGCACGAAGGCGUGGGGAUCAAACAGGAUUAGAUACCCUGGUAGUCCACGCAGUAAACGAUGAUUACUCGCUGUUUGCGAUACACAGCAAGCGGCUUAGCGAAAGCGUUAAGUAAUCCACCUGGGGAGUACGUUCGCAAGAAUGAAACUCAAAUGAAUUGGCGGGG